UUCAAUCCAAAGUUUGACAUUGAGUAAAAUAAAGACACUACCAGAACAAAGUUAUUAUAAAAAUGAAAAAUUGAUUUGAGAGAGAUUACCCCAACUCAAUACAUCUUUUACGGGUGUGGUAGACUUGGGUAGUUGUGUUUUAAUCAAAGGUUUACAACUUUUUUUCAAAAAAUUAUACGAGGUGAGUUUCCCUUUUUUCUACAAGAAAUUACAGGAGAAGAGUUUGUAGUUUUCUCCAUAGUAAUAGUAGGUUGACACGCCUACGUGUUACCUACACUCAUUUGACACGGUCCAGGUAAGUUUUUUGAAAAAAAAAAUUGUUCAGUAGACGUGGGUAAAAGGGGAAAAAGAAAAAUAUGGCUUUCGGUCUUCUUUUGCUCCUCUUUCAAAAAUCACAUUUAGGUUUUCUUUCUUUCAAGACGCAUUGUUCUUCAUCAUUCUUCGUCGGUGCUCUUCUUCAUCGUCUUUCAUUGGCACCCUUGAGCUGCUUCAAUCGGUGGUGUGUUUGAGUUAGGCUUCUAAUCGCUGCAUUCUCUGUUUUUACAAGCUGAUUUUCUUUGGAAGGUAAUAACAGAGAAAUAAUUUUAUUUAAUCUUUGGUCUUUGAGUGAGAAACUGCAUUACCUUGAGUCCUUGGUACCUUCCAAGCAUGAGAAUGGUGGCCAAUGGGUUUGUGCCAGGUGACAAAGUAAGAUGUAAAAAUGUAUAGUGGUUGAACUUGAGAUGACAAAGUCUCUUCUCUCAAGUCAUUAGACACACCUACAAAAACAAUCAUUUCUUAGAAUAUAAAAGUCAGGUAUUUUGAUUGUUCAAAAUCAUUAUUCUAUACACUGAUGUCUAUCUUUGGUCCAUAGAAUGCUUCAUCCCCUUCAUUCAACUACAAGGUUUUACACAAAUAUAAGCACAAAGAUAGUAAAGCUUACAAAUGUCAUAUUCCACAGAAAAUAAUAAAACAUUAUGAAAAUAAAAAAUGGAGUGUGUAGGUGUGAGUGAAAAACCUUCACCCAUAUCAACAUAAAGAUGAAGAGAACAAAUGGGUGUUGUCAUAAACAAAAUGAAACUGCCAACAUAAGCAAAUUAGAUGAUAUAAUGCAAAAAGGAAUCAAGGGCGGACUGGAGGAAUGAGCCUGUAGUAGAGCAUUUCGUGUUUUCAAAACUAAAUCAAAAACAAAACUCUCUGUCUCACGCCCUUGCCCCUUUACUCUAGGGUUUUCGAAAAUGAACAAAAAAGAAAACGAAAGAUAGAGAAAUGAUGAGAAAAGAAGAAAUGAAUUGAAAGGGGACAAAC
Molecule: long non-coding RNA, 1287 nt
Filed under: Vigna radiata
Lineage: Eukaryota; Viridiplantae; Streptophyta; Magnoliopsida; Fabales; Fabaceae
Description: long non-coding RNA (VRAD_LNC010066)
Source: RNAcentral